CAUUACAAAAAGUACAACCCGCCUCUCCGGAGGCGGGCCAUUACUCCAACCCUUUGUUGUCCGACCGCGUUGCCUCCGGGGCGACCCUGACCUCCGGGUCUCGGGGACCCCGGGUGGACACCCAAACUCUGCGUAACUUUGUAGUCUGAGUAACAAGUUUAAAUAAAUUAAAACUUUCAACAACGGAUCUCUUGGUUCUGGCAUCGAUGAAGAACGCAGCGAAAUGCGAUAAGUAAUGUGAAUUGCAGAAUUCAGUGAAUCAUCGAAUCUUUGAACGCACAUUGCGCCCCGUGGUAUUCCGCGGGGCAUGCCUGUUCGAGCGUCAUUUCACCACUCAAGCCUCGCUUGGUAUUGGGCGACGCGGUCCGCCGCGCGCCUCGAAUCGACCGGCUGGGUCGAUCGCACCCUCAGCGUUGUGGAAACUAUUCGCUAAAGGUAUUGCGGUCGGUCACGCCGUGAAACAAACCAAUUUUCAAUGGUUGACCUCGGAUCAGGUAGGGAUACCCGCUGAACUUAAGCAUAUCAAUAAGCGGAGGAAAAGAAACCAACAGGGAUUGCCCUAGUAACGGCGAGUGAAGCGGCAACAGCUCAAAUUUGAAAUCUGGCGCUUUCGGCGUCCGAGUUGUAAUUUGUAGAGGAUGCUUCUGGGCAGCCUCCGGUCUAAGUUCCUUGGAACAGGACGUCAUAGAGGGUGAGAAUCCCGUAUGCGACCGGAAAGGCGCCCUAUACGUAGCUCCUUCGACGAGUCGAGUUGUUUGGGAAUGCAGCUCUAAAUGGGAGGUAAAUUUCUUCUAAAGCUAAAUAUUGGCCAGAGACCGAUAGCGCACAAGUAGAGUGAUCGAAAGAUGAAAAGCACUUUGGAAAGAGAGUUAAAAAGCACGUGAAAUUGUUGAAAGGGAAGGGAUUGCAACCAGACUUGCUCGCGGUGUUCCGCCGGUCUUCUGACCGGUCUAUUCGCCGCGUUGCAGGCCAGCAUCGUCUGAGGCCGCCGGAUAAGACUUUGGGA
RNAcentral lists this ribosomal RNA (1006 nucleotides) under Dothideomycetes sp. genotype css041. Its description in RNAcentral is "eukaryotic LSU rRNA". The stretch from base 481 to 1006 matches the Rfam family "Eukaryotic large subunit ribosomal RNA", at positions 1 to 527 of the family's 3401-position model. The record is from RNAcentral. Lineage: Eukaryota; Fungi; Ascomycota; Dothideomycetes.